RNAcentral lists this ribosomal RNA (253 nucleotides) under uncultured bacterium. RNAcentral describes it as "partial 16S ribosomal RNA". It matches the Rfam family "Bacterial small subunit ribosomal RNA", at positions 524 to 776 of the family's 1533-position model. The record is from RNAcentral.
UACAGAGGGGGCAAGCGUUGUUCGGAAUUACUGGGCGUAAAGGGCGCGUAGGCGGCCUUCUAAGUCGAACGUGAAAUCCCUGGGCUCAACCCGGGAACUGCGUCCGAUACUGGAAGGCUAGAAUCCGGGAGAGGGAUGCGGAAUUCCAGGUGUAGCGGUGAAAUGCGUAGAUAUCUGGAGGAACACCGGUGGCGAAGGCGGCAUCCUGGACCGGUAUUGACGCUGAGGCGCGAAAGCGUGGGGAGCGAACAGG